This 156-nucleotide ribosomal RNA is filed under the name Aschersonia sp. BCC49496. Its description in RNAcentral is "5.8S ribosomal RNA". It matches the Rfam family "5.8S ribosomal RNA". From Rfam's summary of the family: 5.8S ribosomal RNA (5.8S rRNA) is a component of the large subunit of the eukaryotic ribosome. It is transcribed by RNA polymerase I as part of the 45S precursor that also contains 18S and 28S rRNA. Functionally, it is thought that 5.8S rRNA may be involved in ribosome translocation. Lineage: Eukaryota; Fungi; Ascomycota; Sordariomycetes; Hypocreales; Clavicipitaceae. The record is from RNAcentral.
AAACUUUCAACAACGGAUCUCUUGGCUCUGGCAUCGAUGAAGAACGCAGCGAAAUGCGAUAAGUAAUGUGAAUUGCAGAAUUCAGUGAACCAUCGAAUCUUUGAACGCACAUUGCGCCCGCCAGCACUCUGGCGGGCAUGCCUGUUCGAGCGUCAU